CUGUAAUGUGCGUACUUCGCAGUCGUCGUUCCUCUUGAGGAAACAAAGCUAUUCGGAGCUUCUAACCUUGGAUUAAAACUGCACAGUUGACUGGUGGAAAAUUCAAUGUAUAUUAGACUGAGCAUGUGCAACACAAAGAAAUCUCAGGAAACGGGAGAGCAAAUAAUGCGGAUGAAAUGUACUGCGAUCUGGUCCCAUCAACUGCCAACUAAUCAGUUGUUCCUGUCCUAAAGGAUGAAAAUGUGCAACAGGAAAAGAAGCAAAACCUUGAUGAGUGAGAGUUUGAAAAAACAUAUGAGAUUGAUUCGGUCGAGGCUGCGAUUAAAUCUGUCUAUUUGCACGAGCAAUGUUUAGAUGUA
Toxorhynchites rutilus septentrionalis is the source of this 359-nucleotide long non-coding RNA. RefSeq lists it as uncharacterized. NCBI's taxonomy places the organism in Eukaryota, Metazoa, Arthropoda, Insecta, Diptera, Culicidae. The transcript has 3 exons. The record is from RefSeq and is a predicted model, not a curated record.